UACGGGGGGAGCAAGCGUUGUUCGGAUUUACUGGGCGUAAAGGGCGCGUAGGCGGUCAGCACAAGUCAGUUGUGAAAUCUCCGGGCUUAACUCGGAAAGGUCAACUGAUACUGUGCGACUAGAGUGCAGAAGGGGCAACUGGAAUUCUCGGUGUAGCGGUGAAAUGCGUAGAUAUCGAGAGGAACACCUGCGGCGAAGGCGGGUUGCUGGGCUGAUACUGACGCUGAGGCGCGAAAGCUAGGGGAGCGAACGGG
This 254-nucleotide ribosomal RNA is filed under the name uncultured bacterium. Its description in RNAcentral is "partial 16S ribosomal RNA". It matches the Rfam family "Bacterial small subunit ribosomal RNA", at positions 524 to 776 of the family's 1533-position model. The record is from RNAcentral.